GCCCAUCGCCGGGGGCGCCGAAAGGCUGAGAUGCACCCUUUGAACCUGAACCAGAUAAUGCUGGCGGAGGGAGGCAGGGUCUGACCUUC
Molecule: non-coding RNA, 89 nt
Filed under: Roseivivax lentus
Lineage: Bacteria; Pseudomonadati; Pseudomonadota; Alphaproteobacteria; Rhodobacterales; Roseobacteraceae
Description: TPP sequence
Rfam family: TPP riboswitch aptamer (THI element)
About the family: Vitamin B(1) in its active form thiamin pyrophosphate (TPP) is an essential coenzyme that is synthesised by coupling of pyrimidine and thiazole moieties in bacteria. The previously detected thiamin-regulatory element, thi box was extended, resulting in a new, highly conserved RNA secondary structure, the THI element, which is widely distributed in eubacteria and also occurs in some archaea.
Source: RNAcentral